GUGGGAGUGGAGACUGCAGCUUCUUCUUCUUUUUUUUUAUUUUUUAGUUGGACACCGUAUCUUUAUUUAUUUAUUUAUUUUAUGUAGUGCUGAGGAUCGAACCCAGGGCCUCGCAUGUGUUAGACGAGCGCUCUACCACUGAGCUACAACCCCUGCCCCAAGACUGCAGCUUCUGAGUGACCUGGCGAUUCAAGGCCCAGUGAAGGGGACCAGAGAAAAAACCUGGCCUCCUAGCUUAAGCCCUGCUCACUGCUGAGGUUGCAUCUGGAAACAGGCACCUACUAGGCCUCCAGGAAAUAUUCAUCAGAUUAAAUCCAUCACUGUCUAUCCUCAUAGAAGCCCCAGAGCACCCCUGUGUCUUCAGAUAGUUUUUGAAAUUUCCCUGGAGGUGGGAAUUACAAAUAUCCAAAUGUUCACCCAGUCCUGUUGGCUUGUCCUUCAAAAUGGCUUUUGUUCCCCCAACCCUAAGUCAGACCAAGGUCUUAGGUGCCUGCCACCGUAUGUGUCCUUGAUCC
This 515-nucleotide long non-coding RNA is filed under the name Marmota monax (woodchuck). Lineage: Eukaryota; Metazoa; Chordata; Mammalia; Rodentia; Sciuridae. The record is from RNAcentral.